RNAcentral lists this long non-coding RNA (699 nucleotides) under Lupinus angustifolius (narrow-leaved blue lupine). RNAcentral describes it as "long non-coding RNA (LANG_LNC000842)". Lineage: Eukaryota; Viridiplantae; Streptophyta; Magnoliopsida; Fabales; Fabaceae. The record is from RNAcentral.
GGGUGUACUAAGUGCACGAAGAAGGCCGAUGUUAAAAUUGGUCAUUUUACUUGCAAGUGUGGCACAUAUAAUCAUAACUCUACUCCAAGGUAACACUAUUUCUUAUUAUCAAUAUUUUCAUAUUGAACUUAUCAGCAACUCUGUUAUAAUGAUUUACUUUUUUCUUUAUUAGAUACAAAUUGGACAUAAAGGUUAAUCACCAACAUGGUAGUGGAAGGUUUGUGUUUUGGGAUCGUCAAUGUGUUAACAUCAUUGGCAUAUCUGCAUCUGACCUCAAAAGUAAAAUGCUGGCAGUAAGUAACUUUUUAAUGUCUCCAUUUAACAUGCAAUUAAUUCAUUGUAUAUAAAGAAAGUCUAUAUAUAUAUAUAUAUAUAUUUAUAUAGGAAGGUGAGGAUGAUCCCAAGGCAUUCCCUUUAAUCCUUGAUGAAUUGCUGGCAAGGACUAUGGCGUUAAGGGUUAAAGUACAACCAUCAUACAAUCAGUUAUCUGUUAUAAGAUUAUCUGAGGAUCCAAAUCUGAUCAAAAAAGUACUUGAUCAGAUUGGAGUAUUUGAGGUAUUUUAUCGAAACCUAAUGUUAUUACUAAUUAUUGAAUUGAGGAUUUGUUGUCUGAUUCACUAAUUAACUUAUCUACUACAUCCAGCCAACAACUUCUAAUGAAUUGAAAGAGAAUUUUGUUGCCAAUGAAUUCCUUCAAUU